Molecule: ribosomal RNA, 116 nt
Filed under: Escherichia coli
Lineage: Bacteria; Pseudomonadati; Pseudomonadota; Gammaproteobacteria; Enterobacterales; Enterobacteriaceae
Source: RNAcentral
CCUGGCGGCCUUAGCGCGGUGGUCCCACCUGAUUCCAUGCCGAACUCAGAAGUGAAACGCCGUAGCGCCGAUGGUAGUGUGGGGUCUCCCCAUGCGAGAGUAGGGAACUGCCAGGC